AACGCGAAGAACCUUACCAGCCCUUGACAUCCCGGUCGCGGGAACCAGAGAUGGAUCCCUUCAGUUAGGCUGGACCGGAGACAGGUGCUGCAUGGCUGUCGUCAGCUCGUGUCGUGAGAUGUUGGGUUAAGUCCCGCAACGAGCGCAACCCUCGCCCUUAGUUGCCAUCAUUAAGUUGGGCACUCUAGAGGGACCGCCGGCGACAAGCCGGAGGAAGGUGGGGAUGACGUCAAGUCCUCAUGGCCCUUACACCCUGGGCUACACACGUGCUACAAUGGCGGUGACAGUGGGCAGCCAACUCGCGAGAGUGAGCUAAUCCCAAAAAACCGUCCCAGUUCAGAUUGCACUCUGCAACUCGGGUGCAUGAAGGUGGAAUCGCUAGUAAUCGCAGAACAGCAGGCUGCGGUGAAUACGUUCCCGGGCCUUGUACACACCGACAUA
Molecule: ribosomal RNA, 441 nt
Filed under: uncultured bacterium
Lineage: Bacteria
Description: bacterial SSU rRNA
Rfam family: Bacterial small subunit ribosomal RNA
Source: RNAcentral